Olea europaea var. sylvestris is the source of this 1296-nucleotide long non-coding RNA. RefSeq lists it as uncharacterized. The transcript has 2 exons. The record is from RefSeq and is a predicted model, not a curated record. NCBI's taxonomy places the organism in Eukaryota, Viridiplantae, Streptophyta, Magnoliopsida, Lamiales, Oleaceae.
GAAACCGUGAGAAAUCCUGAAAUCCCCAAUCUCUCUUUCAGUUCAAAGGCAGCCGUGACUCGCGAGAGGCAAGACUUCUUCCCCAUCGUCAAAGCUGCAGCUCUCCCACGCCGGUCUCCUAGCCGCUAGCCUCUUGUAUGUAUUUCCCUCGAAGUCUGUAACUGUAGUUUCAUUUCUCCUCUUCUCCUACCCUUACCAUUUACCAAUAUGCCUGCACUUAUGUAGUUAUGUUCGACUUUCACAAGUUUCAUUUGAGUGGUCUAUCCUUUCCUGGAUUUGUUUGUCUUUUGCUGGAUUUCAUUUUGCCUGCAAUGGACUUAUGCACAAUAUGCCUUCACUUAUGAUCAAUGGACUGCCAUGCAAAUAAGCUAAUGUUUACUUGACUUCAACUGUUGCUUUGUUAAUGAGUCCAUAAACACUUUAGAUUUUUGUUUCUUCCCUGCCAUGAAAGUCCCUUCCAGUUCACACCAUAGUAAAGAACAAAUGCUAGGAUUUUGUUUUAUUAUUAUUUUUUUUUUCUGCUAUAAAAGAUCCAAUUGACUUUGUUCCUUUGUAUUUUUUAAUGACCUUUAGUAAGUCUACUGGUCAAACUUUUUCGUGUUGUAAAUCUCUUAUUUUCUUGGUCUGGCUAGCAUAACAUUUCCAAGUUGAUUAGCAGUAACUGAAUAAAAUUUUUCAGAUUCUAGUGGAAAAAGAAAGGAUUUUACUUGAAGUUUUUAUAUAGACUUUACUGGUAUGAAUUUCUCUGGCAUGGAUGUUAUCAAGAUAGUUUUCAUCGUCUUUUCCAAUUUGGCGAGGGAUGCGUUGGCAAUUCAAGUUUCAACUGUUGCUUCAAAAAGUGCAUUUAGUACUGGAGGAAGGAUCAUUGAUCCUUUCCGUGAUCUUUAAGUCCUAAAAUGGUGGAGGUCUUGGUAUGCAUUCAAAAUUGGUUGAAAACUUCACCGAACUUGGAUGGUUUCUACAUGGAAGAUGUUGAGCAUUACAACCAAUUGGAUGGAAGUUAUAUAUAUAUUGAUCAAGGGCCCAACGCUAAGUGAUUCAUUCAUUUUACAAGUUUCCAGGCAGACUUUUUCUUGACGUGUAUCUUAGCAAAUGGGCUAUCUGGAUUUUCUCUGGAGCUUCUUCAACCUGGUCUGCUUAUCUGGAUUCUGGGAUAUGAUGAAGUCACGCAAAUAGAAGACCAAAUUGGAAGAAAUGUGAUGGUUAUUGGGAUGAUUAAUUUUGUAUUUACAUUUUAGGUUUGAUGAUUGGAAUUAUUUAGCAUUUUUAUUUCAGUAAUUUGUGUGGUUGACGUCU